UGUUUGUGCGACAAAUUGCGCAUGCGUGUAGAUAUAUCAAAACACCGAAAAAAGACGGAUGACCGCAUGAGGAUAUCCAAGAAAAACAAUGUCCUAUCGAGCGUGCAGUAGCUUCAGUGUAAUCUCAGUGUGACAGCUCAGUGAGAGAUCCAAAGAUGGACAGCGUUACCGUGUCGGCCUCAGAUGGGACAGCUGACUGUCCUCUGGUCUCUGAGGAAAUGGAGGGGAUCUGUGUAAUGCCAGAUAUAAGUGCCAUCAAGACUGAGCAGUCAGUGGGUGCGAGCCCAGAUGACCCAGGCACCCAAAAUGUGGCCAUGGGGAUCAAGUUCAUCCUGCCAAACCGUUUUGAUAUGAAUGUUUGCUCAAGAUUCGUCAAGUCCCUCAACGAGGAGGACAGCAAGAACAUCCAGGACCAGGUCAACUCUGAUCUGGAGGUGGCUUCUGUUUUAUUCAAAGCUGAGUGCAACAUCCAGACCUCACCUUCUCCGGGCAUACAAGUGCGUCAUGUAUACACACCAUCCACCACCAAACAUUUCUCUCCCAUCAAGCAGUCCACCACACUCACCAAUAAACACCGGGGCAACGAGGUUUCUUCCACACCUCUUCUGGUGCAUUCUUUGUCCAUUCAUCAGUUGGCAGCCCAAGGAGAAAUGGUUUUUCUGGCUAGCAGGAUUGAACAAGAGACUGUGAUCAAUCUACAAGAUGAGGAAGGAUUUACACCUCUGAUGUGGGCAGCUGCACAUGGACAAAUUGCUGUUGUCGAGUUUCUGCUUCAAAAUGGUGCUGACCCCAACCUCCUGGCCAAAGGAAGGGAAAGCGCGUUGUCCUUGGCCUGCAGUAAGGGAUACACCGAUAUUGUGAAGAUGCUCAUUGACUGUGGUGUCGAUGUCAAUGAAUAUGACUGGAAUGGUGGAGCCCCUCUGCUCUACGCUGUCCAUGGGAACCAUGUACGCUGUGUUGAAAUCUUGUUAGAGAGUGGUGCUGAUCCUACCAUCGAGUCAGAUUCUGGAUUCAAUGCAAUGGACAUGGCGGUGGCUAUGGGUCAUCGGAAUGUUCAACAGGUGAUGGAGGCACAUUUACUGAAGUUGCUGAUGGGAAUAAGAGAAUGAACUGUUAAGCUUGAGGAAAACAUACUGGAGGGACAAUGCUGCGCUCUGGACAAUCAUGUAGCAUGCCCAGGCUAUGAGCCUACAGGAAUGUUUUGUUCCACAAAAGUUAUAUUUCAACAGCAUCACAUCAACAUUAUUUUGUGGGCAUGGUGCAUAUGAAGAUAAGUGCUGUGUGAUUUUUAUUUUUAUUUUAUUUUAACCCUCAUUCAAACUGUUUUACUCAGCACUUUUUCCUCAGUGAAUGUGGAGUAGCAGAUUUGAUCAGGAUUCACUGACAGAAUUUUAAAGAACAAAAAUGUAAAGAGAUUACAGCAGGUGGAUUGAAGAUACUUUCUUACAGAACCAGACUGUGCGCUUUAUGACGCUGCCAAGAUGCGUUGAUCCUGAAGAUGUUUGUUUGUCGUACUGAGUUUAUUUAUUUAAAUAAUUUAGACAUUGUGUUGUAAUGUAAGUCUGUUUUGUUUCUCUGGAUUGUGAUGCUAAAUGUCCACUGAUGUGUUGUGAAUUUUUAAAAAGAACUUGCACCUCAUUGAAAUGUUCCACAAGGUUAUUGUGGUUUCUAAGUAACUUACAGUCAUAAAUGGUGUAUCAAUAUCUUGUAUUGACCUUAGUACGAGUCAUCAUCACACUGUACAGAAAUGUUUCUGAUUGCAAGUCAAAAAAGGUCAAACCACUGUUUAUAGUCACUGAAAUGAAGCUUGUUAUUUAAUAAAAAAAUGUAAAUCUUUUUAAA
Molecule: RNA transcript, 1842 nt
Organism: Thunnus maccoyii (southern bluefin tuna)
Lineage: Eukaryota; Metazoa; Chordata; Actinopteri; Scombriformes; Scombridae
Gene: ankra2
Gene name: ankyrin repeat, family A (RFXANK-like), 2
Exons: 10
Source: RefSeq, a predicted model, not a curated record